GUGCUUGCUUCAGCAGCAUGUAUACUAAAAUUGGAAUGAUACAAAGAUUAGCAUGCCCCCUGCACAAGAUGAUAUGCAAAUGUCUGAAGUGUUCCAUAUCUUU
This 103-nucleotide small nuclear RNA is filed under the name Cavia aperea (Brazilian guinea pig). Lineage: Eukaryota; Metazoa; Chordata; Mammalia; Rodentia; Caviidae. The record is from RNAcentral.